ACCAACGCAUCAGGCUAACCACAGUAUAUGCUCCACAGUUUCAGCAGAUUGCUCACAAUUUAAAGAGCCAAUGCUUAUUUAAGAGCAUCAAUGCAUAAGAAAGAGCCAAUGACCUGAAGGGGUAGAGAAACGCACCAAGUAAGGUGCAGAACCAGUGACCCGAAGGGCCAAAGAAACACACCAAGAAAGGUGCAGAACCAGUGACCCGAAGGGCCAAAGAAACACACCUAGAAAGGUGCAAUUCUCCAGAAGUUUAAAAUAAAGUCAGCAGAGCAAAGUACAAACAAUCCCACCACAAACUAUCUAUUUAUACUGCAGAAAUUAUAAAACAAAAAAG
RNAcentral lists this long non-coding RNA (337 nucleotides) under Ananas comosus (pineapple). RNAcentral's name for it is "long non-coding RNA (ACOM_LNC016469)". Lineage: Eukaryota; Viridiplantae; Streptophyta; Magnoliopsida; Poales; Bromeliaceae. The record is from RNAcentral.